UUGUUGGUAAGGUAAAAGCUUACCAAGGCUUCGAUCAGUAGCUGGUCUGAGAGGACGACCAGCCACACUGGGACUGAGACACGGCCCAGACUCCUACGGGAGGCAGCAGUGGGGAAUUUUGGACAAUGGGGGCAACCCUGAUCCAGCCAUGCCGCGUGAGUGAAGAAGGCCUUCGGGUUGUAAAGCUCUUUCAGCCGGAACGAAACGGUUACGGAUAACACCCGUGACUACUGACGGUACCGGAAGAAGAAGCACCGGCUAACUACGUGCCAGCAGCCGCGGUAAUACGUAGGGUGCGAGCGUUAAUCGGAAUUACUGGGCGUAAAGCGUGCGCAGGUGGUUUUGUAAGUCAGAUGUGAAAGCCCCGGGCUCAACCUGGGAACUGCGUUUGAAACUACAAGACUAGAGUGUGGCAGAGGGGGGUGGAAUUCCGCGUGUAGCAGUGAAAUGCGUAGAGAUGUGGAGGAACACCGAUGGCGAAGGCAGCCCCCUGGGUCAACACUGACGCUCAGGCACGAAAGCAUGGGGAGCAAACAGGAUUAGAUACCCUGGUAGUCCAUGCCCUAAACGAUGUCAACUAGUUGUCGGGCCUUUACGGGCUUGGUAACGUAGCUAACGCGUGAAGUUGACCGCCUGGGGAGUACGAUCGCAAGAUUAAAACUCAAAUGAAUUGACGGGGACCCGCACAAGCGGUGGAUUAUGCGGAUUAAUUCGAUGCAACGCGAAAAACCUUACCUACCCUUGACAUGUAUCGAAGCCCGCAGAAAAGCGGGGGUGCCCGAAAGGGAACGAUAACACAGGUGCUGCAUGGCUGUCGUCAGCUCGUGUCGUGAGAUGUUGGGUUAAGUCCCGCAACGAGCGCAACCCUUGUCAUUAAUUGCCGUCAUUUAGUUGGGCACUUUAAUGAGACUGCCGG
RNAcentral lists this ribosomal RNA (916 nucleotides) under uncultured bacterium. RNAcentral's name for it is "bacterial SSU rRNA". It matches the Rfam family "Bacterial small subunit ribosomal RNA", at positions 246 to 1155 of the family's 1533-position model. The record is from RNAcentral.